AGUGAACGCUGGCGGUAGGCCUAACACAUGCAAGUCGAACGGCAGCACAGGAGAGCUUGCUCUCUGGGUGGCGAGUGGCGGACGGGUGAGGAAUACAUCGGAAUCUACUCUAUCGUGGGGGAUAAUGUAGGGAAACUUACGCUAAUACCGCAUACGACCUACGGGUGAAAGCAGGGGACCUUCGGGCCUUGCGCGAUUGAAUGAGCCGAUGUCGGAUUAGCUAGUUGGCGGGGUAAAGGCCCACCAAGGCGACGAUCCGUAGCUGGUCUGAGAGGAUGAUCAGCCACACUGGAACUGAGACACGGUCCAGACUCCUACGGGAGGCAGCAGUGGGGAAUAUUGGACAAUGGGCGCAAGCCUGAUCCAGCCAUACCGCGUGGGUGAAGAAGGCCUUCGGGUUGUAAAGCCCUUUUGUUGGGAAAGAAAUCCAGCUGGCUAAUACCCGGUUGGGAUGACGGUACCCAAAGAAUAAGCACCGGCUAACUUCGUGCCAGCAGCCGCGGUAA
This 506-nucleotide ribosomal RNA is filed under the name uncultured bacterium. Its description in RNAcentral is "partial 16S ribosomal RNA". It matches the Rfam family "Bacterial small subunit ribosomal RNA", at positions 29 to 523 of the family's 1533-position model. The record is from RNAcentral.